Molecule: long non-coding RNA, 1598 nt
Organism: Equus caballus (horse)
Lineage: Eukaryota; Metazoa; Chordata; Mammalia; Perissodactyla; Equidae
Source: Ensembl
UGAGCUUUCCCCUCCCUCUGAGGAACAAUUUGGCAGCACACAUUUUGUGGUCCCUUAGGCCCCAGUAGGAUGGUGCCCCAGGUGCCUAUAGCAGGCUUCCGCUCAUAGGGCGCCCUUUCUUGCUUUACUCAAUCUUGUUUCACUCCCAGACUCCUUCAUUUGUUCCCGGCCCAUGUGUUCUAUGUACGGAUGAGAAAGUGGUAGUAAUCAUUUUAGCUCCCCUCAGCAUCACUCACUCCCAAGGAUCCACCUGAGGAAGUUGUGCUUCAGGCUCAGAGAUUAUACCUUGUCUUCGUUGAAGGAUUGGAGGGAGCUUUCAGAAAAUAGUUAAUAAAUCUUGUCAGGCUAUUUUUUGGUCAUUUGGGGCUCAAGCCUCUGGCCCAGCAGGGAAGGUAAGGGUUUGCUUUACUGGCAAGAGGCAGUGGUUCUCAACUUCAUGAGUUUAGGUAGCUGCUACUAACUGGCGAUGGGGAUUAGUAUGUCUACAACUGAAGGGAAUCACAGCAGAGUGUCUUGGUGCUCAGUGAGGAUGGGAGAAUGGCAGCAAUUAUGGCCUAACAAAGUCAAGGUAACCAGGGACUCAGAUCUCGGAGGGAUGAAGGUGUGAGUUAUUCCACUGGGCUAGAAAUCUAGUGCAGCAGGACUGCAGGCCAAGGAUAAGGGGAAUCUAUAAUGAGUGAGAAAAAUAAUGACUGUCACUUACAUCCCCGAGCCCAACAGCAGAAACACAGAAUAUAACUUGCAACCAACCCUGUCAUUUUAGGGAUUGUGGGCAGCAACCACCUUGACACACCAGUGACAGAGUGUACUCCAAGGCAAGGUAGGGCAUGGACGAUCAGCUUUCUUGAUACUUUAGCCCCUGUCUCCUUGACUCUGCGCUCACCUGUGGCUGCACUGCAGUUCCACACUUGCCUUCAGCUUCCUGCCUCAGGCACCCACAUCUGGUUCUCUACCCAAGAGUUUUCUCCAGCACCACGGGAGCUUUCUCAGCCUGCUCACUGGAUAGCCUGCUUGCAGAGACAACCAACCAGUGAACAACAGGAAAACAGUAGCUGGUGAGAAGUACUUGAGCUUUCCCCUCCCUCUGAGGAACAAUUUGGCAGCAUGCAUUUCGUGGUCCCUCAGGCCCCAGUGGGAUGGUGCCCCAGGUGCCUAUAGCAGGCUUCCUCUCAUAGGGCGCCCUUUCUUGCUUUACUCAAUCUUGUCUCACUCCCAGACUCCUUCAUUUGUUCCCGGUGACCAUCUCCCAAAUAAACCACUUUAACUCGUCUCAGAAUCUACUUUUAGAGAAACCUAGAUUAAGGUAUUCAUUCAAAACUGCAAUAUAGAAGUCCUGUAAUUGUCCGUAAGUUACUAUAUGAUCGCUAAUGGUUGCCUUCACGAUUUCUUGGCAACAGGUGCUGAAGUUUAUUGGAAGCUACACACUGAAGGGUUCACAGUGGGAGAUGAAGCACUGACUAUGGAAUCAGAGGAUUUUUUUUAUUUCUAAUCGUGACAGUUGCCUUGAAAAAGUCACUGUUGUAAUAAUUCCAUGAAGAAAUUAUCUGCAAGAACUUUAAAAACUUAAUUCCAACACUUAAGGAAUUAAACAGUAAAUA